This 915-nucleotide ribosomal RNA is filed under the name Phialemonium thermophilum. RNAcentral describes it as "LSU rRNA". It matches the Rfam family "Eukaryotic large subunit ribosomal RNA", at positions 35 to 968 of the family's 3401-position model. The record is from RNAcentral. Lineage: Eukaryota; Fungi; Ascomycota; Sordariomycetes; Cephalothecales; Cephalothecaceae.
UAAGCAUAUCAAUAAGCGGAGGAAAAGAAACCAACAGGGAUUGCCCUAGUAACGGCGAGUGAAGCGGCAACAGCUCGAAUUUGAAAUCUGGCUCCCUUUGGGGGUCCGAGUUGUAAUCUGCAGAGGAUGCUUCGGGCGAGGUUCCCACCGAGUUCCCUGGAACGGGACGCCACAGAGGGUGAGAGCCCCGUAUGGUGGGAGGCCAAGCCUGUGUGAAGCUCCUUCGACGAGUCGAGUAGCUUGGGAAUGCUGCUCUAAAUGGGAGGUAGACUUCUUCUAAAGCUAAAUACCGGCCAGAGACCGAUAGCGCACAAGUAGAGUGAUCGAAAGAUGAAAAGCACUUUGAAAAGAGGGUCAAACAGUACGUGAAAUUGUUGAAAGGGAAGCGCCUAUGGCCAGACUUGCGCCGGGCCGAUCAUUCAGCGGUCUCCGCUGGUGCACUCGGCCCGUUGCAGGCCAGCGUCGGCUGUCCUGGGGGGAUAAAAGCAGUGGGAACGUAGCUCCCUCCGGGGAGUGUUAUAGCCCGCUGCACAAUACCUCCGGGGCGGCCGAGGUCCGCGCCCUCGUGGCAAGGACGCUGGCGUAAUGGCCAUCAGCGACCCGUCUUGAAACACGGACCAAGGAGUCGAGGUUUUACGCGAGUGUUCGGGUGUCAAGCCCCAGCGCGUAAUGAAAGUGAACGUAGGUGGGAGCCUUCGGGCGCACCAUCGACCGAUCCUGAUGUCUUCGGAUGGAUUUGAGUAAGAGCGUAAAGCCUCGGACCCGAAAGAUGGUGAACUAUGCCUGUAUAGGGUGAAGCCAGAGGAAACUCUGGUGGAGGCUCGCAGCGGUUCUGACGUGCAAAUCGAUCGUCAAAUAUGGGCAUGGGGGCGAAAGACUAAUCGAACCAUCUAGUAGCUGGUUACCGCCGAAGUU